UGGCGAACGGGUGAGUAACGCGUGAGGAACCUGCCUCAAAGAGGGGGACAACAGUUGGAAACGACUGCUAAUACCGCAUAAGCCCACGACCCGGCAUCGGGUAGAGGGAAAAGGAGCAAUCCGCUUUGAGAUGGUCUCGCGUCCGAUUAGCUAGUUGGUGAGGUAACGGCCUACCAAGGCGACGAUCGGUAGCCGGACUGAGAGGUUGAACGGCCACAUUGGGACUGAGACACGGCCCAG
RNAcentral lists this ribosomal RNA (240 nucleotides) under uncultured bacterium. RNAcentral describes it as "partial 16S ribosomal RNA". It matches the Rfam family "Bacterial small subunit ribosomal RNA", at positions 96 to 334 of the family's 1533-position model. The record is from RNAcentral.